Molecule: transfer RNA, 76 nt
Filed under: Bostrychia moritziana
Lineage: Eukaryota; Rhodophyta; Florideophyceae; Ceramiales; Rhodomelaceae
Also listed under: 1 other name
Description: tRNA-Arg
Rfam family: tRNA
About the family: Transfer RNA (tRNA) molecules are approximately 80 nucleotides in length. Their secondary structure includes four short double-helical elements and three loops (D, anti-codon, and T loops). Further hydrogen bonds mediate the characteristic L-shaped molecular structure. tRNAs have two regions of fundamental functional importance: the anti-codon, which is responsible for specific mRNA codon recognition, and the 3' end, to which the tRNAs corresponding amino acid is attached (by aminoacyl-tRNA synthetases). tRNAs cope with the degeneracy of the genetic code in two manners: having more than one tRNA (with a specific anti-codon) for a particular amino acid; and 'wobble' base-pairing, i.e. permitting non-standard base-pairing at the 3rd anti-codon position.
Source: RNAcentral
UGGGCUUGUAGCUCAGUGGAUUAGAGCACGUGGCUACGAACCACGGUGUCGGGGGUUCGAGUCCCUCCUUGCCUGA